Molecule: transfer RNA, 52 nt
Filed under: Myodes glareolus (Bank vole)
Lineage: Eukaryota; Metazoa; Chordata; Mammalia; Rodentia; Cricetidae
Description: partial tRNA-Gln
Rfam family: tRNA
About the family: Transfer RNA (tRNA) molecules are approximately 80 nucleotides in length. Their secondary structure includes four short double-helical elements and three loops (D, anti-codon, and T loops).
Source: RNAcentral
AGCACGGAGAAUUUUGGAUUCUCAGGUGUAGGUUCAAUUCCUAUUGUUCUAG